CUCCGUAACUUCGGGAGAAGGAGUACUCAUAUGGGAAAAACUUAAACAUAUGAGUGGCACAGAGCAGGGAGGAGCAACUGUUUAACAAAAACACAGGAUUCUGCAAAAUUGUAAAGAUGAUGUAUUGAAUCUGACGCCUGCCCGGCGCUGGUGUAGCUAAAUAGGCGGUGGGCUUAAAUGCUCGUCGUUUUAUACCCUCCUAGCAAGCGGCGGCCUUAACUCUGAGGGUCCUAAGGUAGCAAAACUCCUUGGCAGUUAAUUACUGUCCUGCAUGAAUGGCGUAAUGACUCCUCUACUGUCUCCAACAUUCGCCCAGCGAAAUUGACAUUUCUGUGAACAUGCAGAGUACUAACAGGUAGACGGAAAGACCCUAUGAACCUUUACUGCUCGCACUUACCGAGAGUGCUUUGUGGUUCGUGUAGAAUAAGUGGGAGCUUAUCAUGGAUUGGCAGCAAUGAAAUACCACUCAUACUACAGGCAGUCUCCAGGUACCGGAUAUGCGCGUAUGCACCAGUACUAGAUGUUUGUGCAAGGCAGUUUGGCUGGGGUGGCGGCCUGCAAAAAAGUAACGGAGGUGCACAAAGGUAGACUUCGAUCUUUCUAAUAUAGAUUCGAAAGCGUAAUGGCACAAGUCUGCCUGACUGUGAGAUUGACAGAUCGAGCAGGGACUGGUUUAUGGCUAUUAUACCCGUAUUUUUGGCAGAUGCCUCAGUGUCUUGGCUCGUAUACGGCAUGAUAGUGUACAGUCGGUCAUAGUGAUCCGGUAGCCCAGAGUGGAAUGGCUAUCGCUCAACGGAUAAAAGGUACUCUAGGGAUAACAGGCUUAUAACCCCCCGGAGUCCUAAUCUACGGGGUUGUUUGGUACUUCGAUGUUGGCUCAUCACAUCCUGGUGCUGAAGGUGGUUCCAAGGGUAUAGCUGUUCGCUAUUGAAAGUGGUACGUGAGCUGAGUUCAGAACGUCGUGAGACAGUUCGGUCCCUAUCUUCUGUGGGCGUACGAUAUUUGAGAGGAGCUUUUCUUAGUACGAGAGGACCGGAAAGGACGUACCUCUGGUGUACCAGUUGUUCCGCCAGGAGCAUCGCUGGGUAGCCAUGUACGGAACGGAUAACCGCUGAAAGCAUCUAAGCGGGAAGCCAGCCUCAAGAAUAGAUAUCGCGUGGGGGUUUCCCCCCUGAAGGGUCCUUGAAGACUACAAGGUCGAUAGGUCACAGAUGUAAGUCCAGUAAUGGAUUCAGUCGAGUGAUACUAAUAACCCGUGCGGCUUGAUACU
Molecule: ribosomal RNA, 1270 nt
Filed under: Fibrobacter sp.
Lineage: Bacteria; Pseudomonadati; Fibrobacterota; Fibrobacteria; Fibrobacterales; Fibrobacteraceae
Description: partial 23S ribosomal RNA
Rfam family: Bacterial large subunit ribosomal RNA
Source: RNAcentral